CAGUGGAAGUUUGCAAAGCAGUAUCUUAUUUCUCAGGAACUUUGCAAUCGGUAUAAUACAGUUUGGAAAGAAGAUAGGUGGGUGCUCCUAAACAAAAUCCUGGAAAAGAAGAUGUCAGGCUCGACAAAGCAAGAGCGGCAACUUACAGAUAUUCUAUUGAAAAACUUGGAAGGAUCGGAGCCAGUAAAUGGGAAACUCUUACCAUGUUCAAUCUUAGUACGGUCCAAGGACUACAGUGUAAGGAGACGCCUUGGGAGUGGGAGUCAGUACAAGGAGAUACUAUGGCUGGGUGAAAGCCUUGCCCUGAGACACUUUUUU
This 318-nucleotide long non-coding RNA is filed under the name Populus trichocarpa (black cottonwood). Its description in RNAcentral is "long non-coding RNA (PTRI_LNC003294)". Lineage: Eukaryota; Viridiplantae; Streptophyta; Magnoliopsida; Malpighiales; Salicaceae. The record is from RNAcentral.